RNAcentral lists this ribosomal RNA (440 nucleotides) under uncultured bacterium. Its description in RNAcentral is "partial 16S ribosomal RNA". It matches the Rfam family "Bacterial small subunit ribosomal RNA", at positions 338 to 795 of the family's 1533-position model. The record is from RNAcentral.
CCUACGGGUGGCUGCAGUGGGGGAUAUUGCACAAUGGGGGAAACCCUGAUGCAGCGACGCCGCGUGUAGGAAGACGGUCCUCUGGAUUGUAAACUACUGUCCCCAGGGACGAAGAUGACGGUACCUGGGGAGGAAGCUCCGGCUAACUACGUGCCAGCAGCCGCGGUAAUACGUAGGGAGCGAGCGUUGUCCGGAAUUACUGGGUGUAAAGGGAGCGCAGGCGGCGAGUUAAGUCAGCGGUAAAAUUUCGGGGCUCAACCCCGACGAGCCGUUGAAACUGGCUUGCUAGAGUGGGCGAGAAGUAUGCGGAAUGCGUGGUGUAGCGGUGAAAUGCAUAGAUAUCACGCAGAACUCCGAUUGCGAAGGCAGCAUACCGGCGCCCAACUGACGCUCAGGCACGAAAGCGUGGGUAUCGAACAGGAUUAGAUACCCGAGUAGUC